This 816-nucleotide ribosomal RNA is filed under the name Cupriavidus sp. L7L. RNAcentral's name for it is "partial 23S ribosomal RNA". It matches the Rfam family "Bacterial large subunit ribosomal RNA", at positions 2133 to 2925 of the family's 2925-position model. The record is from RNAcentral. Lineage: Bacteria; Pseudomonadati; Pseudomonadota; Betaproteobacteria; Burkholderiales; Burkholderiaceae.
UCUGUGUAGGAUAGGUGGGAGGCUUUGAAGCGUGGACGCCAGUUCACGUGGAGCCGUCCUUGAAAUACCACCCUGGUUUGUUUGAGGUUCUAACCUUGGCCCGUGAAUCCGGGUCGGGGACAGUGCAUGGUAGGCAGUUUGACUGGGGCGGUCUCCUCCCAAAGUGUAACGGAGGAGUUCGAAGGUACGCUUGGUACGGUCGGACAUCGUACCUAAAGUGCAAUGGCAAAAGCGUGCUUAACUGCGAGACCGACAAGUCGAGCAGGUGCGAAAGCAGGACAUAGUGAUCCGGUGGUUCUGAAUGGAAGGGCCAUCGCUCAACGGAUAAAAGGUACUCUGGGGAUAACAGGCUGAUACCGCCCAAGAGUUCAUAUCGACGGCGGUGUUUGGCACCUCGAUGUCGGCUCAUCUCAUCCUGGGGCUGUAGCCGGUCCCAAGGGUAUGGCUGUUCGCCAUUUAAAGAGGUACGUGAGCUGGGUUUAAAACGUCGUGAGACAGUUUGGUCCCUAUCUGCCGUGGGCGUUGGAAUCUUGACGGGGGCUGCUCCUAGUACGAGAGGACCGGAGUGGACGUACCGCUGGUGUACCUGUUGUCUCGCCAGAGGCAUCGCAGGGUAGCUAUGUACGGAAGAGAUAACCGCUGAAAGCAUCUAAGCGGGAAACUCGCCUGAAGAUGAGGAUUCCCUGGAGGCUUGACCUCCUUGAAGGGUCGUUCGAGACCAGGACGUUGAUAGGCUGGGUGUGGAAGCGCAGUAAUGCGUUAAGCUAACCAGUACUAAUUGCCCGUAAGGCUUGAUCCUAUAACCAGUGUGUUUCA